Molecule: ribosomal RNA, 29 nt
Filed under: Vincetoxicum flexuosum var. flexuosum
Lineage: Eukaryota; Viridiplantae; Streptophyta; Magnoliopsida; Gentianales; Apocynaceae
Description: partial 26S ribosomal RNA
Source: RNAcentral
AUCGCAACGAUUGCGACCCCAGGCCAGGC